AUUGAACGCUGGCGGCAGGCCUAACACAUGCAAGUCGAACGAGUGGCGGACGGGUGAGUAAUGUAUGGGAAACUGUCCGCUGGAGGGGGAUAACUCCUGGCAACGGUAGCUAAUACCGCAUACCAUCGGAUGUGCCCAGAUGGGAUUAGCUAGUAGGUGGGGUAACGGCGCACCUAGGCGACGCUCCCUAGAUGGUCUGAGAGGCUGACCCGCCACACUGGAACUGCGACACGGUCCAGACUCCUACGGGAGGCAGCAGUGGGGAAUAUUGCACAAUGGGCGAAAGCCUGAUGCAGCCAUGCCGCGUGUAUGAAGAAGGCCUUCGGGUUGUAAAGUACUUUCAGCGGGGAGGCGUUAUCCGCAGAAUAAGCACCGGCUAACUCCGUGCCAGCCGCCGCGGUAAUAC
This 406-nucleotide ribosomal RNA is filed under the name uncultured bacterium. RNAcentral's name for it is "partial 16S ribosomal RNA". It matches the Rfam family "Bacterial small subunit ribosomal RNA", at positions 30 to 526 of the family's 1533-position model. The record is from RNAcentral.